This 253-nucleotide ribosomal RNA is filed under the name uncultured bacterium. RNAcentral's name for it is "partial 16S ribosomal RNA". It matches the Rfam family "Bacterial small subunit ribosomal RNA", at positions 524 to 776 of the family's 1533-position model. The record is from RNAcentral.
UACGUAGGGGGCAAGCGUUGUCCGGAUUUACUGGGCGUAAAGAGCGUGUAGGCGGCCAAGCAGGUCCGUUGUGAAAACUCGAGGCUUAACCUCGAGAUGUCAUCGGAAACCAUUUGGCUAGAGUCCGGAAGAGGAGAGUGGAAUUCCUGGUGUAGCGGUGAAAUGCGCAGAUAUCAGGAAGAACACCAAUGGCGAAAGCAGCUCUCUGGGACGGUACUGACGCUGAGACGCGAAAGCGUGGGGAGCGAACAGG